This 194-nucleotide ribosomal RNA is filed under the name uncultured eukaryote. RNAcentral's name for it is "partial 18S ribosomal RNA". It matches the Rfam family "Eukaryotic small subunit ribosomal RNA", at positions 1 to 194 of the family's 1831-position model. The record is from RNAcentral.
UAAACCUGGUUGAUCCUGCCAGUAGUCAUACGCUUGUCUCAAAGAUUAAGCCAUGCAUGUCUAAGUAUAAGCACUUAUACCGUGAAACUGCGAAUGGCUCAUUAUAUCAGUUAUAGUUUAUUUGAUAGUCCCUACUACUUGGAUAACCGUAGUAAUUCUAGAGCUAAUACAUGCGCCAAGUCCUGACUGCUUUG